GACGAACGCUGGCGGCGCGCCUAACACAUGCAAGUCGAACGAGCGAGAGAGAGCUUGCUUUCUCAAGCGAGUGGCGAACGGGUGAGUAACGCGUGAGGAACCUGCCUCAAAGAGGGGGACAACGGUUGGAAACGACUGCUAAUACCGCAUAAGCCCACGACCCGGCAUCGGGUAGAGGGAAAAGGAGCAAUCCGCUUUGAGAUGGCCUCGCGUCCGAUUAGCUAGUUGGUGAGGUAACGGCCCACCAAGGCGACGAUCGGUAGCCGGACUGAGAGGUUGAACGGCCACAUUGGGACUGAGACACGGCCCAGACUCCUACGGGAGGCAGCAGUGGGGAAUAUUGCACAAUGGGGGAAACCCUGAUGCAGCGACGCCGCGUGGAGGAAGAAGGUCUUCGGAUUGUAAACUCCUGUUGUUGAGGAAGAUAAUGACGGUACUCAACAAGGAGGUGACGGCUAACUACGUG
This 466-nucleotide ribosomal RNA is filed under the name uncultured bacterium. RNAcentral's name for it is "partial 16S ribosomal RNA". It matches the Rfam family "Bacterial small subunit ribosomal RNA", at positions 28 to 507 of the family's 1533-position model. The record is from RNAcentral.